RNAcentral lists this transfer RNA (16 nucleotides) under Ulota splendida. RNAcentral describes it as "partial tRNA-Phe". The record is from RNAcentral. Lineage: Eukaryota; Viridiplantae; Streptophyta; Bryopsida; Orthotrichales; Orthotrichaceae.
GCCGGAAUAGCUACAG